Molecule: ribosomal RNA, 326 nt
Filed under: uncultured eukaryote
Lineage: Eukaryota
Description: partial 18S ribosomal RNA
Rfam family: Eukaryotic small subunit ribosomal RNA
Source: RNAcentral
CCCUUAGAUGUUCUGGGCUGCACGCGCGCUACACUGAUGCAUGCAACGAGUUUUCGACCUUGCCUGAAAAGGUUGGGUAAUCUGUUUAACAUGUGUCGUGAUGGGGAUAGACCAUUGCAAUUAUUGAUCUUCAACGAGGAAUUCCUAGUAAGCGCGAGUCAUCAGCUCGUGCUGAUUAUGUCCCUGCCCUUUGUACACACCGCCCGCCGCUCCUACCGAUUGAGUGAUCCGGUGAAUGAUUCGGACCAGCGUGCUGCUCAGAUCCUGCGCAGUGUGCUGGGAAGUCUAGUGAACCUUAUCACUUAGAGGAAGGAGAAGUCGUAACA